RNAcentral lists this long non-coding RNA (4619 nucleotides) under Brassica rapa (field mustard). RNAcentral describes it as "long non-coding RNA (BRAP_LNC002617)". The record is from RNAcentral. Lineage: Eukaryota; Viridiplantae; Streptophyta; Magnoliopsida; Brassicales; Brassicaceae.
UCACAUCUCAUACAAUCAUCUCUCUCACUACAACUUUCUCUCACUAGAAAUGAAAAGAAAAAUACUCUUUAGAUUUUUCUUCUUUAAAGUAAGUGUCUCGAGAGUAUAUCGUAGUAGGUAGUUCGUAGAUUCUGUUUCGGGUGUUGCGAAACAUGUAUCCUGGGAUUCAAAAAUCGCAUAAAACCGUCACACAUUACGGGCGAUUUAUUGAGUUAAGGAAAGAGAUCAAAUCUCGACUCCGUGAAUUCGUCUAUUUCCUUACGAUUUCUUAAACGUUGCAAGUCUUUAUAUUAUCGUUUAUAUGCUUCUUGUUUCGUAAUUUUCAAUCAGGAUUUUUGCGGUCCUACAAUCUUAACUCAAUAAAUCCGCUUUUUUUUUUGCUUAUCGCUUGAAUCGGAUUGAAUAUUGCGAACAAUAUUUUAAAAAAAAUGAUUUUGUAAAACGGCUUUACAAAAUAUUUUUAAAUCGAACUGAAACGGUUCUAAGAAUGCUCUUUAGCUAUUCUUUAGAACGUUUUGGAAUAAAAAGACGAAUCAUAUUUAGGAAAUGAUUUACGCGACAUUCUCUGAAAGGCUCGCGAUCUCAUUUUUCUAAAGAAAAAUAGCGUUUAAGAAGGCCUAUUGGCGAAUUCUUAAAAAUGACUAUUAAAAGUUCAAGAACGCCUUUUUAGCGAUUCUGAGAACGGCUUUUAAAAAGUUCAAGAACGUAUUUAGCGAUUCCAAGAACGAUUAUUAUCGUUUAAGAACGCUUUACACGACUUCUGAGAACACUUAUUUGAAUUGAGUUCUCAAUAAUUACUACCAUUUGUAUUUUGUGAACAUAUUCAAUAGUGACUAUUGAUGUCAAUGACUUCGAGUCAAUAAAUGGGUUACUAAGUUUAAACUCAUGAGAUAAGUUUUGUAAAAUAUGGAUAAAUCUUAAAAGAUUGAGUUCAAUAUAUUUUUGAAUAAAUUUUUGUAGAUUAAAUUCAUAAUAUUUUUGGAUAAAUCUAAAUUUAAUGAUUGAGUCCAAAUAACUAUAAUGGAUAAAUCCAAAUAUAAAGAUUGUGUCCAUAUAGAUAAAGAUUGUGUCUAAAUAAUUAUAAAAUAUGUAUUUUUUUUUGAAUAAAUCAAAUCUAUAUUUAGAUUGUGUUCAAAUAUUUUCUUUUGAAUAAAUCUAAAUUUAAAGAUGAAAGAUUGUGUUCAAAUAAUCAUGAAAUAUUUUAUUAUACGAAUAUAACCAGUGAGACGACAAACCUAUUGGGAAUGGUCAUCCACUUGGAUUGUUUUCAUGUGAAGAUUUGUCUAUGCCUAGUAAAACCACUAUAUAAGUCUAUAGUGAGUUGAAUACUUUCAUGGAACUUUGAGUUUCCUUAUGGACAAAUCAAGGCAUAGACGUACGCUCAAAGAAUGACAAAAUUUCUUUUGAUGAACUGUAUGUUUAUCAUAUAUUAGUCAAAGAGCUGUGAUUCUUUAUGCAUGAGAGAACGACUGCAUGUAUAUCAAUUAAUUUGAUAUACUAGGUCUAUAGAUAAAUUGAUUUUCAGUAAAAUCUAUCUCUCACAAGCAAAGGCUACGAGCCAUAAAAAUUGACUUUCAAGUAAGUCAAAUAUGCAAAUCACAAAACAUAUGAUAUUCACAAUUGUGAACAUAAAACGAAAGUGAUUGAGCAAAAGAACUAAGAAAGCCUUAUGUUCAAAAAGCUGACACACAUCGUAGCAAGGCUGGCGAAUGUUGUAGCAAUAUUGGUUUAUAUAGAGAUAAUGUGAAAUCUCAAACCAAUUUGAUAAAAACUAAAACACGAAGUGUAGUUUUGGGUCAAUGUUCCAUAACAUAGUGAAGUUGCGGAACAAAAGUUCUAUACUCUUAAAGGAUGAAUGCAAGCAUGCAUGAUCCUGAAUUAACUCAGGAAAUGUGGGGGGAGUGUUGCUUACCACAUUCAAACAUUGGCAAAAAGCUAUGUACUUUGAAAAGGUUAUGUAAAUUCAUACAAAUACUUCAAAGUGUGGGGGUGCUUAGCAAACGUCGUUGUACUAACUCCAAAAAUGUGGGGGUGCUUAGCAAAAGUCAUAGUACUACCUCCUAAAAAUAUUCCAUUGUCGGAGAAACUAUUUCAGCUCUACGCUUAGUCAAUCGACUAUAGCUCGGGAACUGGAUAUUCUCUAUAAUGGUAAGUCGCAUCGCAUAAGACGACAUAAAACCAUUAGAAACUGUGAUCUCAAAACGUCAGCUGACAACCUUAUGGAUUAUUUACCAAAGGUUUAACAUGAGAUUAAGUAUUAAAAUCAUUGACGGAAAUGGGUUUAUUGCCUAUUAUUAAAGGAUGUUUGAUGGAAACCCUACUAACGUGACUGGAGAUCCCAAGAAGUUGGUUCAAAGGGACAACUAAAUCAAACAAAAUCCGAUAAAAGCACUGAAACCUACCCAUAUCCCAAGAUGAUAAUAGUGCUCCUGUAAGGAUAAGGUUAAGCUUUGGCUUUUAAUGAGAUAAGACCAUGACCUUCAUAUACAUGUAUAUAAAGUAUUACAGGGUACUUUAUUGUGUAUAUGGUAGAUGCACAUGGCAAUCACCUAGUGAGUGUGAAAUGGGGCCGUUUCUAGGUGAAUGAAGUUCAGGCUAUACUCUCCAAGUUCACUCAUGACUAACCAGGCAAGUUCACGGCCAAAAAUGAACACAAUAGAGAACUUAACUCUACGAGAAAACGCAGCUGUGUUAUAUCUGUUGACUCGGUUUACAUAAACUUUAGGGGGGUUCAAGACAUCAUGUUCACCACCUGAAAAGUAAAUCCGACAGAUAUUAACAAUGAGUAGUUCAAAGCUGGAAAACGCUACUACAUCAUAUACAGUUAGUUUUUUUGCUUAUACUCUCGAAAAGUCCGUCUGUCUAGUCUAGGUCAAGUUGUAGAGUCAGUCUUAGUAUAUCUAGCCUAAUUUUUUUAAGAGUAAUUUCUAUUCAUGUGGGGGAUUGUUGGACCAAUUAUUAUAAGCUUAACUGGGCUGAGUAAUAAUUGGAUAUGUGAAUAGAAAAAUUUUAUAAGCCCAAUGGCUGAGUAAAAUUAUAUUGUUAUGUGAAGAGAUAUGGAGAUUUUGGACUCACUUUGCAAGCUAAAUGAGCUGAGCAAAUUGAUUCAUUUGUUGGUUUUGGACCAUGAUGAAAAAGGCUUAAGCCUUAAGAGAAAAAACUUGGCAACCAAGUUAGCAAACUUGACAACCAAGCUAAGCCACCUUGGUGACCAAGUCAAGUCAACUUGGUGGCCAAGUCAAACCAACUUGGUUACCAAGUUUAAAUUGCUUGGUGACCAAGCUAAAUUCUCUUAUAAAUACCCAUGCUCUCUCCAUAAUCUCAAAAUCUCAAUAUAUCUCACAUCUCAUACAAUCAUCUCUCUCACUACCACUUUCUCUCACUAGAAAUGAAAAAAAAAAUAUUCUUUAGAUUUUUCUUCUUUAAAGUAAGUGUCUCGAGAGUAUAUCGUAGUAGUUAGUUCGUAGAUUUUGUUUCGGGUGUUGCGAAACAGUCUCAUCACGGUUGUAUCCUGGGAUUCAAAAAUCGCAUAAAACCGUCACACAUUACGGGCGAUUUAUUGAGUUAAGGAAAGAGAUCAAAUCUCGACUCCGUGAAUUCGUCUAUUUCCUUAUGAUAUCUUAAACGUUGCAAGUCUUUAUAUUAUCGUUUAUAUGCUUCUUGUUUCGUAAUUUUCAAUCAGGAUUUUCGCGGUCCUACAGAAAUGAUUAAUUAAAUUGGUAUACAAUUUAGUGGAUGGAUUUUAGGGUUACUUUUUUUUUGCUAAAUAAAAAGGAUUAAAUCCGGUUCUAUUAAAGAUAUAAGCAUAAUCCUCGUGUGGGAGGGGCAUCCCACAGAUAGACCUUCGAUCUCAUGGUUAUUCAAAAUAGAUCGAAAAACAAUAGUCCAUAUCCGUGUAAAUGACCUGGAAAAUGUGACUUAAUUUCGCAUGGUAGAUGGAUUGAAUCUAAAAUGUGGUGACAUCUCAAGUUCUUCUUGCCACUCGACUACAAGCUCCCCGUCUUUAGGGUUUACUUGACGUAUAUUUAUUUGUUUAAAAAUGCAGUAAUUGCAUUUCUAUACCAAAAAAGGUUGCAAAUUUUUAUAAGAUAUCACGUGAUGAGGUUGCUAAAGAGUUGCAUGCAAUCAGAUGUAAAUUACGUAUCGCGCAUGCAUGAGAUCGAAAAUAGAGUUAUACGGGCUCACUUGCAUUGGGCUUGGUUUUUGGGUUAAUCAAUAAAUAACACGAGUGCAUUUUGGUAAUAUUCCCAAAUUUAAAAAUUCAGAAAGAAACUUGGAGGAGAUUACUAUAGAUGAAGAGAAUGGAAAUGGGUAAGAAGGAAGAGAUUAAGAAAGGGCCAUGGAAAGCUGAAGAGGAAGAAGUAAAAUAGACACUGAGAUUUUGAGAGCUCCAAACAAUUUAGUAAUUUUAGUUUAAUAAUUUAGGAGAUGUAUGUUCAUGUAUAUUAACUCCAAAAUGUUUGAGAACAUAAGACUAAUUAAUGUUUCAUUUUGCUAUGCACAUGACCUAUUGGCGAGAAUCUCUACGCACAUGAAGAGCUGGUAACGAUGUGAAGAAUUUCUGGAGCAAUAAGGCAGCAAUUAGAUUGAAUUUUUGGAAUUGAAUGAUGUGAAAUACC